This 186-nucleotide ribosomal RNA is filed under the name uncultured eukaryote. RNAcentral's name for it is "partial 18S ribosomal RNA". It matches the Rfam family "Eukaryotic small subunit ribosomal RNA", at positions 1299 to 1458 of the family's 1831-position model. The record is from RNAcentral.
UGGUGGAGUGAUUUGUCUGGUUAAUUCCGAUAACGAACAAGACUCUGUCCUGCUAACUAGGUUGUGUUUUCUCGGGUUGGUGUUUCUGGUGUUCCUUCUCGGGGCGCCGGCCCAAUCCACUUGUGAACACAACACUCUUCUUAGAGGGACUGGCGGCUGUUAGCCGCACGAGAUAGAGCAAUAACA